UGCCAGCCGCCGCGGUAAUACGAAGGUCCCAAGCGUUAAUCGGAAUUACUGGGCGUAAAGCGCGCGUAGGUGGUCUGUUAAGUCGGAUGUGAAAGCCCCGGGCUCAACCUGGGAUCUGCAUUCGAUACUGGCAGACUAGAGUGCGAGAGAGGGAGGUAGAAUUCCAUGUGUAGCGGUGAAAUGCGUAGAUAUGUGGAGGAAUACCAGUGGCGAAGGCGGCCUCCUGGCUCGACACUGACACUGAGGUGCGAAAGCGUCGGCAGCAAACAGGAUUAGAUA
This 279-nucleotide ribosomal RNA is filed under the name uncultured bacterium. RNAcentral's name for it is "partial 16S ribosomal RNA". It matches the Rfam family "Bacterial small subunit ribosomal RNA", at positions 506 to 784 of the family's 1533-position model. The record is from RNAcentral.